ACGCUGGCGGCGUGCCUAAUACAUGCAAGUCGAACGGCUUUUCUAUGGAAGCUUGCUUCCACUGAGAAGAUAGUGGCGAACGGGUGAGUAACACGUGGGUAACCUGCCCAUAAGAGGGGGAUAACAUCCGGAAACGGGUGCUAAUACCGCAUAGUUUUCUUGAUCGCAUGAUUGAGAAAGGAAAGAUGGCCUUUGUGCUGUCGCUUAUGGAUGGACCCGCGGCGUAUUAGUUAGUUGGUGAGGUAACGGCUCACCAAGACGAUGAUACGUAGCCGACCUGAGAGGGUGAUCGGCCACAUUGGGACUGAGACACGGCCCAAACUCCUACGGGAGGCAGCAGUAGGGAAUCUUCCGCAAUGGACGAAAGUCUGACGGAGCAACGCCGCGUGAGUGAAGAAAAGGUUUUCGGAUCGUAAAACUCUGUUGUCAGAGAAGAACAAGUUGGAGAGUAACUGCUCCAGCCUUGACGGUAUCUGACCAGAAAGCCACGGCUAACUACGUGCCAGCCGCGGC
Molecule: ribosomal RNA, 513 nt
Filed under: uncultured bacterium
Lineage: Bacteria
Description: bacterial SSU rRNA
Rfam family: Bacterial small subunit ribosomal RNA
Source: RNAcentral